ACCAUUCAGAACCAUUCUCUCCUUCACGUGACUGGAGUCUGUUCCCCUUCUCUCCUUCACGUGACUGGAGUCUGUUCCCCUUCUCUCCUUCACGUGACUGGAGUCUGUUCCCCUUCUCUCCUUCACGUGACUGGAGUCUGUUCCCCUUCUCUCCUUCACGUGACUGGAGUCUGUUCCCCUUCUCUCCUUCACGUGACUGGAGUCUGUUCCCCCUUCUCUCUUUCACGUGACUGGAGUCUGUUCCCCUUCUCUCCUUCACGUGACUGGAGUCUGUUCCCCUUCUCUCCUUCACGUGACUGGAGUCUGUUCCCCUUCUCUCCUUCACGUGACUGGAGUCUGUUCCCCUUCUCUCCUUCACGUGACUGGAGUCUGUUCCCCUUCUCUCCUUCACGUGACUGGAGUCUGUUCCCCUUCUCUCCUUCACGUGACUGGAGUCUGUUCCCCUUCUCUCCUUCACGUGACUGGAGUCUGUUCCCCUUCUCUCCUUCACGUGACUGGAGUCUGUUCCCCUUCUCUCCUUCACGUGACUGGAGUCUGUUCCCCUUCUCUCCUUCACGUGACUGGAGUCUGUUCCCCUUCUCUCCUUCACGUGACUGGAGUCUGUUCUCUCCUUCACGUGACUGGAGUCUGUUCUCUCCUUCACGUGACUGGAGUCUGUUCUCUCCUUCACGUGACUGGAGUCUGUUCUCUCCUUCACGUGACUGGAGUCUGUUCCCUCCUUCACGUGACUGGAGUCUGUUCCCCUUCUCUCCUCACGUGACUGGAGUCUGUUCCCCUUCUCUCCUUCACGUGACUGGAGUCUGUUCCCCUUCCCUCCUUCACGUGACUGGAGCCUGUUCCCCUUCCCUCCUUCACGUGACUGGAGCCUGUUCCCCUUCCCUCCUUCACGUGACUGGAGUCUGUUCUUCUUCUCUGAAGAGCUCCGUGUUUAUCUCCCCUUCACAAACACCCUUCACGUGGAGAGAGAAGAAACAACCGUUCCUCUCCCUCUGGCCCCAGUCACCUCUGACCUCUGACCUCUAA
This 1023-nucleotide long non-coding RNA is filed under the name Oncorhynchus kisutch (coho salmon). Its description in RNAcentral is "lncRNA (ENSOKIG00005022080.1)". Lineage: Eukaryota; Metazoa; Chordata; Actinopteri; Salmoniformes; Salmonidae. The record is from RNAcentral.